This is a regulatory RNA element of Helobdella robusta, 114 nucleotides long. It matches the Rfam family "Potassium channel RNA editing signal". Rfam says of the family: This family represents a group of sequences related to the human potassium channel Kv1.1 hairpin element which directs the efficient modification of an adenosine to inosine by an adenosine deaminase acting on RNA (ADAR). The ADAR modification causes an isoleucine/valine recoding event which lies in the ion-conducting pore of the potassium channel. Lineage: Eukaryota; Metazoa; Annelida; Clitellata; Rhynchobdellida; Glossiphoniidae. The record is from Rfam.
GUGGGCUACGGGGACGUCUACCCCAAAUCCAGUUGGGGUAAAUUAGUGGGGGCGAUUUGCUGCAUUUGCGGCGUUUUGGUCAUAGCAAUGCCCAUCCCAAUUAUCGUCAGCAAU